RNAcentral lists this ribosomal RNA (253 nucleotides) under uncultured bacterium. Its description in RNAcentral is "partial 16S ribosomal RNA". It matches the Rfam family "Bacterial small subunit ribosomal RNA", at positions 524 to 776 of the family's 1533-position model. The record is from RNAcentral.
UACGGAGGAUGCAAGCGUUAUCCGGAAUGAUUGGGCGUAAAGCGUCCGCAGGUGGCUAUGUAAGUCUGCUGUUAAAGAGUGAGGCUCAACCUCAUAAGAGCAGUGGAAACUACAUGGCUAGAGUGCGUUCGGGGCAGAGGGAAUUCCUGGUGUAGCGGUGAAAUGCGUAGAGAUCAGGAAGAACACCGGUGGCGAAAGCGCUCUGCUAGGCCGCAACUGACACUGAGGGACGAAAGCGUGGGGAGCAAACAGG